Molecule: ribosomal RNA, 449 nt
Filed under: uncultured bacterium
Lineage: Bacteria
Description: partial 16S ribosomal RNA
Rfam family: Bacterial small subunit ribosomal RNA
Source: RNAcentral
UAGGGAAUCUUCGGCAAUGGACGAAAGUCUGACCGAGCAACGCCGCGUGAGUGAAGAAGGUUUUCGGAUCGUAAAACUCUGUUGGUAGAGAAGAACGUUGGUGAGAGUGGAAAGCUCAUCAAGUGACGGUAACUACCCAGAAAGGGACGGCUAACUACGUGCCAGCAGCCGCGGUAAUACGUAGGUCCCGAGCGUUGUCCGGAUUUAUUGGGCGUAAAGCGAGCGCAGGUGGUUUAUUAAGUCUGGUGUAAAAGGCAGUGGCUCAACCAUUGUAUGCAUUGGAAACUGGUAGACUUGAGUGCAGGAGAGGAGAGUGGAAUUCCAUGUGUAGCGGUGAAAUGCGUAGAUAUAUGGAGGAACACCGGUGGCGAAAGCGGCUCUCUGGCCUGUAACUGACACUGAGGCUCGAAAGCGUGGGGAGCAAACAGGAUUAGAUACCCUGGUAGUCC